This 478-nucleotide ribosomal RNA is filed under the name uncultured bacterium. RNAcentral describes it as "partial 16S ribosomal RNA". It matches the Rfam family "Bacterial small subunit ribosomal RNA", at positions 28 to 523 of the family's 1533-position model. The record is from RNAcentral.
GACGAACGCUGGCGGCGUGCUUAACACAUGCAAGUCGAACGGUAAGGCCCUCCGGGGUACACGAGUGGCGAACGGGUGAGUAACACGUGGGUGAUCUGCCCUGCACUUCGGGAUAAGCCUGGGAAACUGGGUCUAAUACCGGAUAGGACCACUGCCUGCAUGGGUGGUGGUGGAAAGCUUUUGCGGUGUGGGAUGGGCCCGCGGCCUAUCAGCUUGUUGGUGGGGUGAUGGCCUACCAAGGCGACGACGGGUAGCCGGCCUGAGAGGGUGACCGGCCACACUGGGACGGGGAGACGGCCCGGACUCCUACGGGAGGCAGCAGUGGGGAAUAGUGCACAAUGGGCGCAAGCCUGAUGCAGCGACGCGGCGUGAGGGAUGACGGCCUUCGGGUUGUAAACCUCUUUCAGCACCGACGAAGCGCAAGUGACGGUAGGUGCAGAAGAAGGACCGGCCAACUACGUGCCAGCCGCCGCCGUAA